Molecule: ribosomal RNA, 405 nt
Filed under: uncultured bacterium
Lineage: Bacteria
Description: partial 16S ribosomal RNA
Rfam family: Bacterial small subunit ribosomal RNA
Source: RNAcentral
GACGAACGCUGGCGGCGUGCUUAACACAUGCAAGUCGAACGAGUGGCGCACGGGUGUGUAAUACGUGGGUAACCUGCCCUCUGUUUGGGAUUAGCUUCUGAAACGGGUUCUAAUUCCCACUAAGGGGGAUGGGCUCGCGGCCUAUCUGCUUGUUGGGGGGGUGAUGGCCCACCAAGGCGGUCACGGGGUGCCGGGCGGAGAGGGUGAACGGGCACUGUGUGACGGGGCAAAGGCCCAUGCGCCUACGGGGGGGGGCAGUGGGGGAUAUUGCAGAAUGCGCGAGAGCGUGAUGCAGCGACGCGGAGUGGGGGAUGAGGGCUUUCGAGUUGUAAACCUGUGGCGCUAUCGAACGGGUAGGUGGAGAAGAAGCGCCGGCUAACUACGUGCCAGCCGCCGCGGUAAUUC